CCUACGGGUGGCAGCAGUGAGGAAUAUUGGUCAAUGGGAGGAAUCCUGAACCAGCCAUGCCGCGUGCAGGACGACGGCUCUACGAGUUGUAAACUGCUUUUGUACCGAGGUAAAAUGCCUUACGUGUAGGGUUUUGAAAGUACGGUACGAAUAAGGAUCGGCUAAAUCCGUGCCAGCAGCCGCGGUAAUACGGAGGAUCCGAGCGUUAUCCGGAUUCGUUGGGUUUAAAGGGUGCGUAGGUGGUUUUAUAAGUUAGCGGUGAAAUACCGAUGCUCAACAUCGGGGCUUCCGCAAAUACUGUAGGACUAGAGAGCGGAUGCAGCAGGCGGAAUGUGUAGUGUAGCGGUGAAAUGCAUAGAUAUUACACAGAACACCGAUUGCGAAGGCAGCUUGCUAGGCCGGAUCUGACACUGAUGCACGAAAGCGUGGGGAUCGAACAGGAUUAGAUACCCGGGUAGUC
This 460-nucleotide ribosomal RNA is filed under the name uncultured bacterium. Its description in RNAcentral is "partial 16S ribosomal RNA". It matches the Rfam family "Bacterial small subunit ribosomal RNA", at positions 338 to 795 of the family's 1533-position model. The record is from RNAcentral.